This 398-nucleotide ribosomal RNA is filed under the name uncultured bacterium. Its description in RNAcentral is "partial 16S ribosomal RNA". It matches the Rfam family "Bacterial small subunit ribosomal RNA", at positions 523 to 918 of the family's 1533-position model. The record is from RNAcentral.
AUACGUAGGGUGCGAGCGUUGUCCGGAAUUACUGGGCGUAAAGAGCUCGUAGGUGGUUUGUCGCGUCGUCUGUGAAAUUCCGGGGCUUAACUCCGGGCGUGCAGGCGAUACGGGCAUAACUUGAGUACUGUAGGGGAGACUGGAAUUCCUGGUGUAGCGGCGAAAUGCGCAGAUAUCAGGAGGAACACCGGUGGCGAAGGCGGGUCUCUGGGCAGUAACUGACGCUGAGGAGCGAAAGCAUGGGUAGCGAACAGGAUUAGAUACCCUGGUAGUCCAUGCCGUAAACGGUGGGCGCUAGGUGUAGGGGUCUUCCACGACUUCUGUGCCGUAGCUAACGCAUUAAGCGCCCCGCCUGGGGAGUACGGCCGCAAGGUUGAAACUCAAAUGAAUUGACGGGG